RNA transcript from Magnolia sinica, 1537 nucleotides. It is a transcript of the gene named dynamin-related protein 3A-like, with no coding region annotated. The record is from RefSeq and is a predicted model, not a curated record. NCBI's taxonomy places the organism in Eukaryota, Viridiplantae, Streptophyta, Magnoliopsida, Magnoliales, Magnoliaceae. The transcript is spliced from 6 exons.
AUUGUGGGCAUAUUAUUAGUUUUACACGUGUCAAUGAAAAAAGUUCUUUAAAGUUAUUCUUUGAAAUAAUGUGUUUUACACUUGAUCAUAUAUAUAUAUAUAUAUAUAUUUUUCUCGUGACUCCUCAUGUCUACUUUUGAGAACAGUACAUGUGUCAAUCUCUAAGUUACAUGUCUUAUAUGUGUGGUUUGUUUUUUUCCUUCUAAAUUGUCGACCUGACCACAUGUUGCAGAUAUUCUUUAAAGGAUGGAGUGAAGUUCUGCCCAUUUUGUACUCAACCUUUCUGGGGUUAGCACUAAUCUUCUUUAAAGUGCAAUCUUUUUCUUCGAUGGUGGAGGGGAAAACGAGGAAAUGCCAACAUCAAAGCUUUCUGGUGGAGCACAAAUUCACUAUAUUUUUCAAUCAAUCUUUGUGAAGAGUUUGGAAGUUUGCAUCACACUACUUUAUGAUCUUAUCUCCAAGAAGUGGAUCCAUGUGAUGACUCAACUGAUGAAGACAUCCGCACCACUAUUCAAAAUGCUACUGGCCCUAAAAGUGCUUUAUUUGUACCAGAGGCUCAAGGGGUUUAAAAGGUUGGGUGGUUCUUUGUUAUUCUAGCAGACUCUGACGGUACAUGCACUUGUACUCUGAAAUUGUACAUGCAUCAUGCAUGUAAUUCACUCAAGGACUAAUUAAAAAUGUCUGCCAUACUGAACUACUAAAACUCUGAAGUUACACUACCAUUGAGUAAUUCAUUGAGAACUCAGAGGUUUGCUGGCUAGUUUUGAAGCUUAAGAUUCAACUAUAUUAAUCAUUUCAAGCAGUUUAAUCCAAACUAUCCAAAGUUUAUUUCUUGAUCAAACUUUGGUUUAUACAUUAGUUUGAAUGUAAUUAUUAUAUUCACAAAAAAAGUGAGAAUUAGCUUAUAUUUUGAAAGAUUUAGCUCAUAUGAGUUGUGAGAUUUGGGAUAUAUGUUUUUCGUUAGCAUAGAUUUAAUUAUUGUAUUAACAUUCUUCAUAAGAUUGCUUUUUAGAUGGAGUUGUAAUGAUCCUUCAUGGCCAGGUGGCAACCAUGGAUUGGAUAUCAUAUAUACAAUCAAUUUUUGAUGGAAAUACAAAUUUUAUAUGUUUGGGAUUUGAAUGGUAGAUCUGAUUUUGAUUUCUUCCUUUUCUUUUGUGUAGUGAUUUAUCUCAAGAAGUGAGAUUUAUAGUGUGUUAUGCAGAAUUUCGAUAAAUUGAAUGCUUACAUGGACAGAAACAAGAUCUUCGAAGCUGUGGGCUGUGUUUAGUUCCAAUUACAAGCACCUUAUCAGUUACUAAUGAGAUCGGAGCUGAUUUUUCGACAUCCAUGUUCGGAGGAAUUUCACAAUUUUGAGGAACUGAUUGUUGCAAUUUAACCAAACCCAAUGAUAUUUAGCAUAAAUUUAAGUAUUGUAUCAACGGUCUUCCUAAGAUUGCUUUUAUAUGGAGUUGGGUAUCAUAUAUACAAUUAAUUUUUUAUGGAAAUACAAAUUUUAUAUGUUUGAGAUUUGAUUGGUAGAUCUGAUUUUGAUUUCUUC